GAACCCCUAUGUACCCUAGUUUGGUUAGAUGUUAUUUCCCUAAAGUUUGAAUGGUUUUGGAAUGUUUUUGGGUAAAAAAAAGUUCAUGGAAAAAUUUUGGGUUUUUCAUGAAUGUUCUUCAUUGUUCUUGACAUUUUUGCCAAGAACAAAAAGGUUUGUGUUUUGAUUCAAAGUUUGGUUAAUUUCAUAAAGUCUUUGUUUUGUGUUGGUUGAAGUGAAUUUUCUAUCACCAAAACAUUUUUUUUUGAAAGGUGAUAGAAAUUGUGAUGGGUGUGUAAGACUUACACACCUUACACACCUUACACACCACAUGCAUGGUUUUAUGAUUCACAACAACCAAAUUCCACUUGCAAGGCUUUAUGAAAUUGUCCACAAAAAUUUCCAAAUUUUUGUGGACUUAUCUCCACUCCCUUUCCCUCUCUAAAAACCGGCCCUCCCUCAAGUGGGAGUACUUUUGGGGCUUUUAUGCAAUUACAUAAAGUUUUGAUACUUUUGUGUAUUUUCACUUUGGCCCAAAAGUUUACGUUUUUACGUUUAGGUCCAAAAACGCUAAAGGACAAAUUGUUUUG
Molecule: long non-coding RNA, 569 nt
Filed under: Malus domestica (apple)
Lineage: Eukaryota; Viridiplantae; Streptophyta; Magnoliopsida; Rosales; Rosaceae
Description: long non-coding RNA (MDOM_LNC009393)
Source: RNAcentral